UAUUGGACAAUGGGCGAAAGCCUGAUCCAGCCAUGCCGCGUGAGUGAUGAAGGCCCUAGGGUUGUAAAGCUCUUUUGUCCGGGAAGAUAAUGACUGUACCGGAAGAAUAAGCCCCGGCUAACUUCGUGCCAGCAGCCGCGGUAAUACGAAGGGGGCUAGCGUUGCUCGGAAUCACUGGGCGUAAAGGGUGCGUAGGUGGAUUUUUAAGUCAGAGGUGAAAUCCUGGAGCUCAACUCCAGAACUGCCUUUGAUACUGAGAGUCUUGAGUUCGGAGAGGUGAGGUGAACUGCGAGUGAGAGGUAAAUUCGAGUUUCGCAAGACACCAGUGGCAAGGCGGCUACUGCCCGUCUGACUGGACAGAUACAUA
Molecule: ribosomal RNA, 367 nt
Filed under: uncultured bacterium
Lineage: Bacteria
Description: bacterial SSU rRNA
Rfam family: Bacterial small subunit ribosomal RNA
Source: RNAcentral